UACGGGGGGGGCAAGCGUUGUUCGGAAUUACUGGGCGUAAAGGGCUUGUAGGCGGCCAACUAAGUCGGAUGUGAAAUCCCCAAGCUUAACUUGGGAACUGCAUCCGAUACUGGAUGGCUUGAAUCCGGGAGAGGGAUGCAGAAUUCCAGGUGUAGCGGUGAAAUGCGUAGAUAUCUGGAGGAAUACCGGUGGCGAAGGCGGCAUCCUGGACCGGCAUUGACGCUGAGGAGCGAAAGCUAGGGGAGCAAACGGG
Molecule: ribosomal RNA, 253 nt
Filed under: uncultured bacterium
Lineage: Bacteria
Description: partial 16S ribosomal RNA
Rfam family: Bacterial small subunit ribosomal RNA
Source: RNAcentral